This is a long non-coding RNA of Chelonia mydas (Green sea turtle), 242 nucleotides long. RefSeq lists it as uncharacterized. The transcript has 2 exons. The record is from RefSeq and is a predicted model, not a curated record. Lineage: Eukaryota; Metazoa; Chordata; Testudines; Cheloniidae.
UGAUUGCACGAGCUAGGCAGGGUGAGACGCAGUCUGGGCCAAUGGAGAGAGCACUGGACUGGGAGUCAGGAGACAUAGACCCUUUUUCUGGCUGUAUCAUCAAUCUGCUAUAUCACGGUCUGAAAAAAAGACAGAAGUGAAAGAAGCGAAGAAAAAAGAAGCAUCUCCUACCAGAAGCCCAGGAGAACUGAUCAAAGAGCCAAAUAAAAAAAAUAUUUAAAUUAUAGUAGGUCAAAAAAAUU